Molecule: long non-coding RNA, 512 nt
Organism: Notolabrus celidotus (New Zealand spotty)
Lineage: Eukaryota; Metazoa; Chordata; Actinopteri; Labriformes; Labridae
Exons: 2
Source: RefSeq, a predicted model, not a curated record
CCUCAAAAACAUUCAGCAAAGAGGGUAUGGCAGUGAGGAGAGACAGCGGUUCUCUGCUUUUGCUUCCCUCCCUCCCUCCUUCUUCCUGUGUGUGUGUGUGUUUUUUUUUCUUCUCUGUCUACUUUAUGCUUCUGUUGGAAAUUAGCUGGAAGACAAAGAAGCCAUGUGUUGUGACAGGGCAUGCUUACUGUACCGGUGUGGUUGGGAUUUCCGGUGCACGACCUUCCAGGCAUGGCUGCACAGGUUUUUAAAAGAGUGUGCAGUGAAAGAUUUACUCUGGCAGCUGGAAAGGACAGAGCUCUGAUGGGUUUCGAUCUUAGCAGGGAAGGAGGCUCCCAAGGCGGCAGAACACGUAACUAUCCCUGGACACAUGUUUUUUAUAUGUGGCAAUAAAUACUCAUUAAUUCCUAAUGACAUGAGCUGGGUGUUUGCGUGGGACUACCAUGAUGGCUACAAGGACAUGAGACGAUGUUUGGCAAAAUUUUAAAUAAAUAAAAACAAAAAUGAAAGAC